Molecule: ribosomal RNA, 1149 nt
Filed under: Staphylococcus aureus
Lineage: Bacteria; Bacillati; Bacillota; Bacilli; Caryophanales; Staphylococcaceae
Description: partial 23S ribosomal RNA
Rfam family: Bacterial large subunit ribosomal RNA
Source: RNAcentral
UCGAUUCCCUUAGUAGCGGCGAGCGAAACGGGAAGAGCCCAAACCAACAAGCUUGCUUGUUGGGGUUGUAGGACACUCUAUACGGAGUUACAAAGGACGACAUUAGACGAAUCAUCUGGAAAGAUGAAUCAAAGAAGGUAAUAAUCCUGUAGUCGAAAAUGUUGUCUCUCUUGAGUGGAUCCUGAGUACGACGGAGCACGUGAAAUUCCGUCGGAAUCUGGGAGGACCAUCUCCUAAGGCUAAAUACUCUCUAGUGACCGAUAGUGAACCAGUACCGUGAGGGAAAGGUGAAAAGCACCCCGGAAGGGGAGUGAAAUAGAACCUGAAACCGUGUGCUUACAAGUAGUCAGAGCCCGUUAAUGGGUGAUGGCGUGCCUUUUGUAGAAUGAACCGGCGAGUUACGAUUUGAUGCAAGGUUAAGCAGUAAAUGUGGAGCCGUAGCGAAAGCGAGUCUGAAUAGGGCGUUUAGUAUUUGGUCGUAGACCCGAAACCAGGUGAUCUACCCUUGGUCAGGUUGAAGUUCAGGUAACACUGAAUGGAGGACCGAACCGACUUACGUUGAAAAGUGAGCGGAUGAACUGAGGGUAGCGGAGAAAUUCCAAUCGAACCUGGAGAUAGCUGGUUCUCUCCGAAAUAGCUUUAGGGCUAGCCUCAAGUGAUGAUUAUUGGAGGUAGAGCACUGUUUGGACGAGGGGCCCCUCUCGGGUUACCGAAUUCAGACAAACUCCGAAUGCCAAUUAAUUUAACUUGGGAGUCAGAACAUGGGUGAUAAGGUCCGUGUUCGAAAGGGAAACAGCCCAGACCACCAGCUAAGGUCCCAAAAUAUAUGUUAAGUGGAAAAGGAUGUGGCGUUGCCCAGACAACUAGGAUGUUGGCUUAGAAGCAGCCAUCAUUUAAAGAGUGCGUAAUAGCUCACUAGUCGAGUGACACUGCGCCGAAAAUGUACCGGGGCUAAACAUAUUACCGAAGCUGUGGAUUGUCCUUUGGACAAUGGUAGGAGAGCGUUCUAAGGGCGUUGAAGCAUGAUCGUAAGGACAUGUGGAGCGCUUAGAAGUGAGAAUGCCGGUGUGAGUAGCGAAAGACGGGUGAGAAUCCCGUCCACCGAUUGACUAAGGUUUCCAGAGGAAGGCUCGUCCGCUCUGGGUUAGU